GGAGGAGGAAGAGGAGGAGGAGGAGGAGAAGGAGGAGAAGGAGGAGGAGGCGUGCAGGCCGCCCGCUCCCGCCGCCCUCGGCCCGGAGCCCGGUUCCCAGCUUUCCGCCUCUCCGGCUCUGCGCGUCUCUGUUUCCGCCUCUCUCCCUGCACCUCCCCGUCUCUGUCUCCCUGUCUCUGGGUCCCUCUCUGUCGCGCUGUCUCAGAGACUCCCUGCCCUCGUCCUCUCGGUUCCCGUGUCCCCCGGGCUCCGGGCAUCUCCCCCGCCCCGCCCGGUGCCCCCUCCCCAGGACGCCGCGGGGCCAUGGCUGCGGGAUCCGAACUUUAAACACUUCUCUCCGGACCGGAGCGGACGCGCCAAGCCGGGAAACACCAGGGACAUCCGUGCAGAGCCUGGGACUCACGUUGAGAGAGACACAGAGAAACAGAGAAACACACAACACCCCAGAGCCACCCAGCCAAAGGAGAGACAGACCCAGGCAGGGUGUGGUCUCCGUCCUGGCCUCCCUGCCCUCUGCAGUGCAUGCAGCCACCCAGCCUCCCAGCUGCCUUCGGCCCAGACACACCUCUUCCAGGCCUGGACGCCCCUACCCAUCUGUCCCCAAGUCGUACACAGUGCAUCCUCAGUAGAGGUUCCUGUGGGUGUGUGACUGCGUGGCUUGUGUUGUCAUGCAUGUAAAUGUGACCUGUGCCAUUGUUUGCACGUGUGUCGUGUCUGAGAGCAUGUUUGUGGGAUGUGUGUGGUACUCAGCUGUGUGGGUCCAUCAUGACUGCCCACAGCUCGGGGGUUGUGCUGUGUGUGGUGUUUCAGCCUCGUGUGGCCACUCAGGGUGGGCCCAGUGACCAGGGCAGGACCGCCCAAGUGCCUGAGGCCAAGGAUGAAAAAGUGAGAAGCUCAGUCCAGGAGAAGCAGGAUGAGGGGCCUAAGGGGACCCCAGAGGUAGUAGGCCGGAGAGUGUAAGUGUGAGGGACACGGCCCCAGGGACGUGUGUGAGACACUGGCUGUGUGAGUCUGUGUGGCAGUGUGUUUGUGUUUGCUUUGACUCAGCUGUGUGAGUCUGGAUUCAGAUGCAGCUGUAAGAGUGUGGUGUAUUGUGUGUGUGUGGUCACUGGGGGAGUGGAAUAGAACAGGCAGGGUAGAGUACCUAUGUGGAUGACCAGCCCUGGGGAGUGUCGAUCGGCCUGCGUAUAUGUGUCAUGGUAUGUCUCUGUGUGGUUGUGUGUUCGUGUGAUUGUUGGAUGGUGCAUGUGUGGGACUCAUGCCCAGUUCAGCGUGGAAGACUGUGUGCCUGUGAUGACAUGAGUACCGAUGUCUGUUUGGCUCACUGGCUACACACGUGUGAAUGUUCCGUGUGGCUACGUUUCAGUCCCUGUGUUUUGCAUGUCCCUGUGAGAAUUCCAGUGUGUGUGGCAUCAGGAGAAGUAGUGAGGAGUUUGUGUGUAGGGUGCAAGCUGUGUGUGUGACACACCUCCCACACCUGUAUAUGAUGUGGGGCACGUGUGCGUGUGGUACUGUGUAGUGCGUAUGUAACGUGUGCGGUGUAUACAUGGUGUGUGUGUGUGUGUGUACAGUGUGAUAUGCGGCAUGGUUUGUGUGUACUGUGUAUGUGAUACGUGUGAGAUAUUGCGAGUGUGUUUGUACAUGUGUAUACCCCAGGCACAGGACCAUCCUCCCCAGAGCCAGGCCAGAGCACUUGGUCGAUGUGGGCAGGGAUGGGAGUGGAGUGACAUCUGGUGUUGGGGGGCAGGUCCUGCAGGAAAGCCCCCACCUGACCCCGCCUCACCAGGGCAGCCAGAGGCUCCUGGUGUCCAUGAUGGGAUGGCCCCCGAACCUGGCUGUGUGUCCACGUGGACGUGGCCCUCACCUGGAUAGACAGAUGCAUGUGAGCCAGUGCACACACAGCACGGGACAGCAGGGAGGCCGCUGCCCUAGGCAGGGCGGGACGGGGUACACGUGGAGACCGUCUGGCAGGGGCUGGCAGCUGUGUGGCCCAGGGGUGUCUGGGGUGUGUGACUACUGGUAGGUGUCAUCGUGUGUCUGCUGUGCGCAUAGAUGUGUCGCACACAGGUGAGCAGCAGGGGGAAGUGUGUGUCCCUCGACUGUCUGAAUGUCGCCAUGGGUGCAGUGAAAGUGUGUGUGUGUGUGUGUGUGUACACGUGCAGGCGCUCGUGCAGGGGUAGCAUGGCAGUGGGAGAAGGGUCUUGGGCCGCGUCUCUCUCCUCUUUAGACAGAGCCCUGGAGAAGAUAUGAAAUUUAAAAAAAAAAAUCAAUUUUCAUUCCACUUGUGCAGAUUGUGUUAAGGGGAGGUGGGGAUGGGGGCUGGGUGAGGGAUGAAGGGGCCAAGGCGGGGUGUGAGGCCUGAGGCAGCUCCCGAGGCGGCCAGCGCAGCUUAGAGAAAUCAAAACAACUGGUUAAACCCCAGCCCAGGGGGCCGGGUGAUGGGGUGAGGAGACAGAGGCCAAGAGGCAGACAGAGGCCUAGAGACAGGGAGGGCCAGACAGAGACACAGAGAUGGAGACACUGAGGGACAGAGGCAGGCAGAGAGAUGAGCAACUCAGACUCUCAACGAGAGAGCAACAGACAGACAGAUGGACAGAUGGACAGAGAACUGACCUUCCGAGGUGUGCUGAGAGAGACGACAAUGCGGGCAUUGAGAACAGAAUGCACACACACGCGCACACACACAAAGGCGUGCUUAUGACGCCUGCAGGUGGAUGGACAGACAGGCUGAUGGGUAGCAGGGUUGGUAGAGAGAGGGCAGCAGAAGCAGCAGGGACCCUGGGGUGGGGUCACCUCUGAGUGCGCCUUGGCCUGUGUCUGGGGAGGGGCUGCAGGCUGCCUGUAGCGCUGGUUACGUCUGAGACUAUGAUCCUUGGGUGUAUGUGUGUCACUGUGACUGUGUCUGUGGACGAAUGUGAGGCCAUGGGUUUGUUGCCUGGCCCUGGCCCUGGCUGUGUUAGUCCUGUGUGCGCCUCUGUGUCACCAUGCGUUACCAAGAG
Long non-coding RNA from Fukomys damarensis (Damara mole-rat), 2999 nucleotides. The record is from Ensembl. Lineage: Eukaryota; Metazoa; Chordata; Mammalia; Rodentia; Bathyergidae.